CCACUCGAGUAGGAUCUAGAUCAUCUUCUCCUCGCAAAUCUUUGCUCCAAAAAUUAAAUCUGGAUCUGAUCUGAAAGUUCUUCAAAAUAGCUUCUGAAGUUGGAGCAGCGGUUUCUCGACAGAUUGCUGCAGCCUCCUGAUCAAGGAGCCACCACGCCUUGGAUUAACACCAGAUGGAUGCCCAACUUCUUGGGUGUGAGGAAGGGA
Molecule: long non-coding RNA, 207 nt
Filed under: Elaeis guineensis (African oil palm)
Lineage: Eukaryota; Viridiplantae; Streptophyta; Magnoliopsida; Arecales; Arecaceae
Description: long non-coding RNA (EGUI_LNC078588)
Source: RNAcentral